GGAUUAAUAGCUUAAUAGGUAAAGUGUUUACUUGUCGAGUAAAAGGAUGUUUGUUCAAAUCAAACUUAAUUCG
RNAcentral lists this transfer RNA (73 nucleotides) under Starmerella bacillaris. Its description in RNAcentral is "tRNA-Asp". It matches the Rfam family "tRNA". Rfam says of the family: Transfer RNA (tRNA) molecules are approximately 80 nucleotides in length. Their secondary structure includes four short double-helical elements and three loops (D, anti-codon, and T loops). Lineage: Eukaryota; Fungi; Ascomycota; Dipodascomycetes; Dipodascales; Trichomonascaceae. The record is from RNAcentral.